This 381-nucleotide ribosomal RNA is filed under the name uncultured bacterium. Its description in RNAcentral is "bacterial SSU rRNA". It matches the Rfam family "Bacterial small subunit ribosomal RNA", at positions 28 to 407 of the family's 1533-position model. The record is from RNAcentral.
GACGAACGCUGGCGGCGUGCUUAACACAUGCAAGUCGAGCGGUAAGGCCCCUUUUGGGGGGUACACGAGCGGCGAACGGGUGAGUAACACGUGGGUGACCUGCCUUCAGCUCUGGGAUAAGCCUGGGAAACUGGGUCUAAUACCGGAUAUGACCUUUGCCUGCAUGGGUGGGGGUGGAAAGAUUUGUUUUGGCUGGGGAUGGGCCUGCGGUCUAUCAGCUUGUUGGUGGGGUGAUGGCCUACCAAGGCGACGACGGGUAGCCGGCCUGAGAGGGCGACCGGCCACACUGGGACUGAGACACGGCCCAGACUCCUACGGGAGGCAGCAGUGGGGAAUAUUGCGCAAUGGGCGGAAGCCUGACGCAGCGACGCCGCGUGGGGA